Molecule: long non-coding RNA, 1013 nt
Organism: Eriocheir sinensis (Chinese mitten crab)
Lineage: Eukaryota; Metazoa; Arthropoda; Malacostraca; Decapoda; Varunidae
Exons: 2
Source: RefSeq, a predicted model, not a curated record
CACUCGUCGCUAAUUAGUACCCGCCAGGUAAAAGGUGGCGAUGAUAACGGCGUGAGGUUUAUCGUCCCGUACGAUGGAUAUCUCACGCACCUGUCUCCUGAGUAGUCGUAGUCUGAGGUGGGGUGAUUUUUUUUUUUUUUUUACAGCUAAGGACUCAGCUCAUGGGGAAACAACAAAAAGUGUAAAAAAAAAAAGCCCGCUAGUCGCUGUUCCCACAAAGAAAAAAUUGAAAAGUGGCCAAAAGAGAGGUCGAGGUCAAUUUCGGGUGGAGAGGUGUCUUGAUGCAAUCCUCUUGAAAGAUUGGGAAGGCGCCGGUGUAUUUGUAUCUUUGGACUAAAGUCAUAUGCAGCCAGUACUGAUAACGGUUAGAAUUUAUACCCCCCUCCUCCCCACCCGUGCAGUAAAUGCUUCACACACCUGUCUCUGAGUGGCCGUAGCCUGAGGUGGCGUGAACGGGAGGGCGCAGGUGUUUGCAUGAUUGAACAAAUGUCAUAUGUUGCCACCACCGAUGACGACUUCGUGUUUAUCUUCCUUGAAUAACAGAUGGUUCACACACCUGUCUUUUCGUUGCCAUGGACUGAAGUGGAGUGCAUGGUGUGUGUGCAUGUGUGAUCAAAUCUGCCGUUCGUAACAUUGUGAGCCUAAGACAACCUGGAAAUCAACUCGUCAGUCAGUCAGUCAGUCAACCAGUCAACUGCUCGUCUACCAAUCACUUUUUUUUUUCGGGAUGUCAGUCAGUCAGUAAGUCAGUCAGCCUUCCAAGGUUAUCUAAGGCUAAGGUUAGGACAGGGAGGAGGAGGGACCAGGGAAUAGAGGCAAGGGCAGGGAGGAGGGAGCAGGGAAUGGAGGCAGGGGCAAGGAGGAGGAGGGUAUGAUUUUUUCCUCCUUCACGCCCCCGCCAAACACGUCCGUUAUGGCGGCGGGCAGAUGUCAGUAAUGUAACACAGCGGCGUUGGCAAUGAUGAUGGCCGGCAACGCUGCUCGCCCGGCCGCCUGUCUAAAAAAACAACACA